AUCCAUUACAGUGUUCUCUUUGGUUAUUGUUUGGGGGUUCUUGUCUUGCAAACGCCCUAUUUUCUCCGAGUUUUUGUUAUUAAAUUACUGAGAAUUGAAGAUGGCGAUCUCUACAUCUCACCUGUUAAGGCAAGUGCAGGAAGCUCACGAGUUUGACCGUGACGCUUUGUUUCGCUACGCCUCUGCUAAUGUCGCUGGUUUCCCUGCCUCUCCCUCCACUUUCAUUGUCAAACAGUUUGGGCAUGGACAAUCGAACCCCACGUUUCUUUUAGAAGCGGCAACCGGAGUUUCUGUAAAACGGUACGUUUUGAGGAAGAAGCCUCCUGGCAAAUUGCUCCAGUCUGCCCAUGCCGUGGACAGAGAGUAUCUGGUUCUGCGGGCGCUGGGUGAACACACACAAGUUCCGGUUCCUAAAGUAUUCUGUUUGUGUACGGAUCCAAAAGUGAUUGGAACUGCAUUUUACAUUAUGGAAUAUUUGGAAGGACGCGUUUUUAUAGACCCCAAGCUACCGGGCGUGGCACCUGAGAGGAGGGGGGCAAUAUAUCGAGAAACUGCCAGAGCGUUGGCUGCUUUACAUUCCGUUGAUGUGGAUGCUAUUGGACUUGGGAAAUAUGGGCGGCGAUAUAACUAUUGUAAACGACAGGUAGAGAGAUGGACUAGACAAUACAUUGCAUCAACUGGUGAGGGUAAGUCUCCGAGGAAUCCAAAGAUGUUGGAGCUCUCUGAUUGGUUGCUGCAACAUAUUCCCUCUGAAGAUUCUUCAGGAGCAUCAGCAGGCCUUGUUCAUGGAGACUUUCGCAUUGAUAAUGUUGUAUUUCAUCCCACUGAGGAUAGGGUGAUUGGUGUUCUUGACUGGGAAUUGUCCACUCUUGGUAAUCAGAUGAGUGAUGUUGCAUACAGCUGUUUGGUAUCAAGCCUUCUUUUCUUCAUUCUUUCUAUAUUUCUUUUCUACCCUGGGAUGCAGAUGCUGUAAUACUCUGCUUAAGCUCCACUUUUGAUGAAUUCCAUAGGUUUACUUUUUAUUUAGUGGCAUAUCUAAGUUCAUUUCUUUUUUCUGUUUGGCAGGCUUAUAUUGUCGAUGUUAACCUUGAUAAUCAACAAUUGGAAAAAGGCUUUGAACUUACUGGAGUUCCGGAAGGGAUUCCUUCACAGGCAGAGUAUCUGGCGGAAUACUGCUGUGCAUCUGUAAGAUCCAUUCUGAAGCUUUGAUUUAAUUGUGCUGGCUGCAAAUAUCUUUCAAAUUUCAAUUCUUCUGAGCGAAUCAAAGUAUCUAGAAGACGUAUGCAGUAAGAUCUAGUUGUUGCAAUACUGAUAGGCUACAAGUAUCAAUCAAUUAGGUUUGCAGACUAUAUGUUCUAAAUUCUCUUUUUAUUGAUUUCUCCACAACUUUCUCAAUGUAAUUGUAGUGUUUAAAAAACUAGGGGAAACUGGCCUCUAAAUUCAAGUAAAACUUACAAAUGUUGGUGAGGAUUGGGUUCAGCAAAUCUUUACUCUCCCAUAACAAUGGAGCUAAUGGUGCAUAUGACCAGGCAAUUUGGCUGAACUGAUUUGGAAGAUUUUUUCUUUACUGUUGAAAUAUUGCAAUCUAGGGAACACUAUGGCCAGCCAACGUAUGGAAGUUCUAUGUUGCAUUUGCUAUGUUCCGAGGGGUAUCUAUCUAUGCUGGGAUACAUAGUCGAUGGAUUGUGGGUAAUGCUACAGGAGGUGAGCGUGCCCGAAAUGCAGGAAAUCUUGCUAAUGGUCUUAUAGACUCUGCAUGGGAUUUUAUUGCGAGAAAAUCUGUGCUGCCUCUUCAACCUCCAUCAGAUCCAAUCGCACAGGAUAACAUAAAACGAUUUGGUGGGGAGAAUGAAGUUCAAGGCCUGUCAGAAGUUAAUGGGAGGUUUGUUCCCAGCAAAAAGGUGGUUGAAUUGAGGAAAAAAUUAAUCAAGUUUAUGGAAGAUCACAUUUACCCGAUGGAAAAUGAGUUCUACAAGCUUGCCCAGUCUUCAUCACGUUGGACAGUGCACCCAGGGGAGGAGAGGCUGAAGGAACUGGCAAAGAAAGAAGGGCUAUGGAACUUAUGGAUACCUGUAUUUUAUUUUUUCACAUCUUACCAGGCUGUGUUUGUCUUUCUACUGUUAUUACGAUUUCUAAUAGUAAGAAAAAUCACAAACUUCUCGUGAACGUGCAUUUUUCUGCAGUUUGAUAGUGCUGAAAGAGCAAGAAAACUGAUCUUUGAUGGAAUAAGUUAUGCUGUCUCCAAUGAUGCCCAUGAUCAAUUACUUGGUGCAGGCCUCUCGAACCUUGAAUAUGGAUACCUUUGUGAGAUCAUGGGUCGUUCUGUUUGGGCUCCACAGGUGUUCAAUUGUGGUGCACCUGACACUGGAAAUAUGGAGGUAUUGCUGCGAUAUGGGAACAAAGAACAACUACUCAAAUGGCUUAUACCAAUUCUUGAGGGAAGGAUUCGUUCUGGAUUUGCAAUGACAGAACCACAAGUUGCAUCAUCUGAUGCUACAAAUAUUGAGUGUUCUAUUAGAAGGCAAGGGGAUUCCUAUAUCAUCAAUGGGAACAAGUGGUGGACGAGUGGAGCUAUGGAUCCAAGGUGUAGACUUCUUAUAGUAAUGGGAAAAACUGACUUCACCACUGCUAAGCAUAAGCAGCAAUCCAUGAUCUUGGUGGAUAUUCAGACUCCAGGCAUACACAUAGAGAGACCACUCAUGGUCUUUGGCUUUGAUGAUGCACCUCAUGGUCAUGCUGAAAUUUCAUUUGAAAAUGUACGUGUGCCUGCAAAAAAUAUCCUCCUGGGAGAAGGACGUGGAUUUGAGAUUGCUCAGGGUAGACUGGGCCCGGGAAGAUUGCAUCAUUGCAUGAGAUUGAUAGGUGCUGCUGAGCGUGGAAUGCAAUUGAUGGUUGAAAGGGCUCUCAGUAGAAGAGCAUUUGGAAAAUUGAUUUCUGAACAUGGUUCAUUUCGUUCAGACAUUGCCAAGUGUCGAGUGGAGUUAGAGAAAACGAGAUUGUUGGUUUUGGAGGCAGCGGACCAGCUUGAUCGACUUGGGAAUAAGAAGGCCCGUGGGACUAUUGCAAUGGCCAAGGUAGCAGCUCCAAACAUGGCACUCAUGGUGCUUGACAUGGCAAUGCAAGUGCAUGGUGCAGCUGGUCUAUCAUCUGACACCGUUUUGUCACAUCUUUGGGCUACAGCUAGAACUUUGAGAAUUGCAGAUGGUCCUGACGAAGUCCACUUGGGUACCAUUGCCAAGUUGGAAUUGCAGAGAGCUAAGCUUUGAAAACUUUGGAGUAAUUAGCUCUUUUUUUUUUUUAAUUAAUUGAAGAUAAAAGAGGGCAAAAAAUAAGUUACAACAAAAAAAAAAAUCUGAUUUGAGAGAUAAAUGGUGGAUCUUUGUAAUUACUAAUAAGUUCCAAACAUUUCUUUGAUGUGUAAAAGAGGAGAAUAAUGGCGAUACCUCAAUAGCAUAUAAUUAAUCUUCAAUUUGAU
This 3475-nucleotide unclassified non-coding RNA is filed under the name Hevea brasiliensis (rubber tree). Lineage: Eukaryota; Viridiplantae; Streptophyta; Magnoliopsida; Malpighiales; Euphorbiaceae. The record is from RNAcentral.